UGAGGAAUAUUGGGCAAUGCCCGCAAGGGUGACCCAGCAACGCCGCGUGGAGGAUGAAUGUCGUAAGAUUGUAAACUCCUGUUAGAGGGGAAGAAUAGUACCGGUUGGACCGGUAUAUGACUGUACCCUCAGAGAAAGCCCCGGCUAACUACGUGCCAGCAGCCGCGGUAAUACGUAGGGGGCAAGCGUUGUCCGGAUUUACUGGGUGUAAAGGGCGCGCAGGCGGGAUAAAAAGUCAGUGGUGAAAUCCUACAGCUUAACUGUAGAACUGCCUUUGAUACUUUUAGUCUUGAGUUCGGGAGAGAGAGACGGAAUUCCAGGUGUAGUGGUGAAAUACGUAGAUAUCUGGAAGAACCCCAGUUGCGAAGGCGGUCUCUUGGUCCGACACUGACGCUGAGGCGCGAAAGCGUGGGGAGCAAACA
This 422-nucleotide ribosomal RNA is filed under the name uncultured bacterium. RNAcentral describes it as "bacterial SSU rRNA". It matches the Rfam family "Bacterial small subunit ribosomal RNA", at positions 355 to 774 of the family's 1533-position model. The record is from RNAcentral.